This 1157-nucleotide long non-coding RNA is filed under the name Medicago truncatula (barrel medic). RNAcentral describes it as "lncRNA gene25362". The record is from RNAcentral. Lineage: Eukaryota; Viridiplantae; Streptophyta; Magnoliopsida; Fabales; Fabaceae.
AUGACUUUAUUUUUAUUGGUCCAACAUGAAUCAAAUGACAAAUUAGUUCAUCCUAGCGUUUGCCCGCCAAAGCUCACAAUGAACAUAAAUGAGUAGUUAUUCGAAUGAUAUAAGGCAAGAGUAAAGAUUUAAAUUGGUCUUUGAGAGAAAAAAAAAGACCCAUUUCUCAUAUGGGAAAUGAAAAACAUCAAUUUGAUCAUCAAAAAGUUUCAAAUGAUAGUCAAAUUAAUGAUUAAUUAAGACAAUGUUUAACAACAUUUUAAUCUCAAUCAAAACUAAUUUAACCGACAUUUAAUAUAUUUGAGGAUCAAAUUAAUACUUUUCAUUUCUAAAAAAAUAAAUAGGUCUUUGUAUUUUUUUUCUCAAUGACCCUUUUAGACUUUUACUCAGAAAACAAUUAACUAAAAAUGAGGGACAACAUUCAAAUUUCCAAAUCCAAACCACUACAAUGUGCAAGUAAUUUGGUUAACCCAAAAGUGAUAGCCAUAGCCAUCCAUCCACCAAGAAGGAACCUAAUAGAAGAUUUUACCUUUGGUGUUUUACCAAGCAUAGCACCAACACCUCCAAACACAACCAAAGCCAAACUAGCUAUUGCCAUAAUCGCAAUAAUCCUAAUCUUAUAAACUCUUAUAAAUGAACCACUAAGUAAAGGAACCAAACCACCAAUAGAAAAUGAGAAUGCAGAAGCUGCAGCAGCUUGCAAUGGAUUAGGCAAUGAUCUUCUUUUCUCCAACUCAAUCUCCAAUUCUUUCUCUUUUCUAUCACUUGUUCCUAAAUCUCUCAUCAUUUGACCAAUUUCAACUUCAUAUUGUGUGUACACAGAAACAAAUUCUCCUAUUGCCAUACCACAUGCUCCUGCAAUUAAUCCCGCAAAACCCGCGACUAACAUUGUUGCACUGUCUGUUUUAACAGCUCCUACACCCAUCAUUAGUGAAGCAACAGAAACUAAUCCAUCAUUAGCUCCUAAUACGGCUGCGCGAAGCCAUUGAGCCCUUUGCCAAUAAUCAAUAUCUGAAGUUUUACAAUUUUCUUUGAUUUUUAUUUGCUUUUCUUCCAUUUCCUUUGUAGGAUUUGGAAUUGUGAUUACUUUGUUUAGUGACUCAGAAUCACAUAUUGUACCAACGGCCAUUGGUACUAAAAAAAAUAAAUUAAGAAAA